AGCAGCCGCGGUAAUUCCAGCUCCAAUAGCGUAUAUUAAAGUUGUUGCAGUUAAAAAGCUCGUAGUUGAAUUUCGGGGUUAGUAGGUUGGUCAUGCCUCUGGUAUGUACUGGUCUCACUGAUUCCUCCUUCCUGAUGAACCUUAAUGCCAUUAAUUUGGUGUUUUGGGGAAUUUGGACUGUUACUUUGAAAAAAUUAGAGUGUUUAAAGCAAGCUAACGCUUGAAUACAUUAGCAUGGAAUAAUGAAAUAGGACGUUCGAUCCUAUUUUGUUGGUUUCUAGGAUUGACGUAAUGAUUAAUAGGGAUAGUUGGGGGCAUUAGUAUUCAAUUGUCAGAGGUGAAAUUCUUGGAUUUAUUGAAGACUAACUACUGCGAAAGCAUUUGCCAAGGAUGUUUUCAUUAAUCAAGAACGAAAGUUAGGGGAUCGAAGACGAUCAGAUACCGUCGUAGUCUUAACCAUAAACUAUGCCGACUAGGGAUCGGGAUGAUGUUUAAUUUUUAAUGACUCAUUCGGCGCCUU
Molecule: ribosomal RNA, 520 nt
Filed under: uncultured Glomus
Lineage: Eukaryota; Fungi; Glomeromycota; Glomeromycetes; Glomerales; Glomeraceae
Description: SSU rRNA
Rfam family: Eukaryotic small subunit ribosomal RNA
Source: RNAcentral